RNAcentral lists this transfer RNA (96 nucleotides) under Thermodesulfobacteriota bacterium. Its description in RNAcentral is "tRNA-Sec". It matches the Rfam family "Selenocysteine transfer RNA". The record is from RNAcentral. Lineage: Bacteria; Pseudomonadati; Thermodesulfobacteriota.
GGAAGCGUAAGGGGACUGGUGUCCCUCCCGGGCUUCAAACCCGGUGCGCCCCAAGUUUAAGGGGCGGGUGGGUUCAAUUCCCACACGCUUCCGCCA